This 253-nucleotide ribosomal RNA is filed under the name uncultured bacterium. RNAcentral's name for it is "partial 16S ribosomal RNA". It matches the Rfam family "Bacterial small subunit ribosomal RNA", at positions 524 to 776 of the family's 1533-position model. The record is from RNAcentral.
GACGAAGGAUGCAAGCGUUAUCCGGAUUCAUUGGGUUUAAAGGGAGCGUAGGUGGCCUUAUAAGUCAGUGGUGAAAUCUCUCGGCUUAACCGAGAAAUUGCCAUUGAUACUGCAGGGCUUGAGUAUAGUUGCCGUUGGCGGAAUAUGACAUGUAGUGGUGAAAUACAUAGAGAUGUCAUAGAACACCGAUUGCGAAGGCAGCUGACGAAACUAUAACUGACACUGAGGCUCGAAAGUGCGGGGAUCAAACAGG